CCUACGGGGGGUAGCAGUGAGGAAUAUUGGUCAAUGGCCGGAAGGCUGAACCAGCCAAGUCGCGUGAGGGACGACUGCCCUAUGGGUUGUAAACCUCUUUUAUAAGGGAAGAAUAAAUGCUACGUGUAGCAUGAUGCCUGUACCUUAUGAAUAAGCAUCGGCUAACUCCGUGCCAGCAGCCGCGGUAAUACGGAGGAUGCGAGCGUUAUCCGGAUUUAUUGGGUUUAAAGGGUGCGUAGUGGGUUUUUUAAGUCUGUUGUUAAAGUUUGGGGGCUCCACGUUGUUUUGCAAUUGAUACUGGAAGACUUGAGUUCAGACGAGGUAGGCGGAAUAAGUUAAGUAGCGGUGAAAUGCUUAGAUAUAACGUAGAACUCCGAUAGCGAAGGCAGCUUACCAGACUGCGACUGACGCUGAAGCACGAGAGCGUGGGUAGCGAACAGGAUUAGAUACCCGAGUAGUC
RNAcentral lists this ribosomal RNA (460 nucleotides) under uncultured bacterium. RNAcentral describes it as "partial 16S ribosomal RNA". It matches the Rfam family "Bacterial small subunit ribosomal RNA", at positions 338 to 795 of the family's 1533-position model. The record is from RNAcentral.